AAUAGACCUUGCGCAUGUGUGAGCUCUGCUUCAGGCUCUGAUUUCUAAGGAACCCAGGGUCCUUCUGGUUCUUCUAUGUGGGAUGCCACCACAGCAUGGCUUGAUGAGCAGUGAGUAGGUCCAUGCCCAGGAUCCAAAUUGGCAAACCCCAGGCCGCUGAAGUGGAGUGCACAACUUAACCACUUGGCCACAGGGCUGGCCCCUGACUUCAGGUUUUAAAGAAUCACCCCACAAACAAGCAAACCAAACAAACAAUAGAAGGAAUACUCUGACAGGCGUGUGGAGAACAGACUGUGGUGAGCAAGGCUGGAAGCCGGGAGAGGGAGCAGGCAUCUGUUGCAAGAAUGCAGGCUUUGCAGGCCAUACGAUUUCUGUCACAACGACUCAACUCUGCCAUGACAGCGUGAAGGCGGCCAUGGACCACAUGUCAACUGACGAGCAUUCUAGGAGCAAUUAUUGUUCUUCUGAUGGAAGAAACCAGCAAUGUUGCAAGAAAGAGGUAGUUAUGAUAACAUUUUAUUUGUAAAAACACUUGACGGGCUAGAAUUGGCUGGUGGGCCACAGUCUGCCAACUCAUGGUCUGUGGGAAUAUGUAGUGACUUUGCCCAAGAAAUGGUACGACCACGCCUGCCGGGCCUCCAGAUCUCCGUUUGUUCCUGCUGAUUUUCCGAGCUAGCCCCACACCUUCCUCUGGAUUCUGUGAACCCCCAUAUCCUUUGUCUUAGCUUGUGCUGCCAUAACAAAAGAUCAUAG
This 753-nucleotide long non-coding RNA is filed under the name Equus asinus (donkey). RNAcentral's name for it is "lncRNA (ENSEASG00005029991.1)". Lineage: Eukaryota; Metazoa; Chordata; Mammalia; Perissodactyla; Equidae. The record is from RNAcentral.